UUGACCCACCAACAAAACCUUGACCUCAAAUCGGGUGAGACUACCCGCUGAACUUAAGCAUAUCAAUAA
Molecule: ribosomal RNA, 69 nt
Filed under: uncultured fungus
Lineage: Eukaryota; Fungi
Description: partial 28S ribosomal RNA
Source: RNAcentral